GGAUCCACAUUCAAAAUUCAAACCACACUUUCAAUCCAUCUCUCUCUAAAAUCCAGUCUAGAGCUCCCAUGGGAGUAUCUUCCCUGAAUCUUCUGAGGAUUUUGUUUCGAUGAAGUACAGGUAAUCAUCCCCCACGUUACAAGUACAAAAUCCACAUUUUCGUGUGUAUAUAUAACAUUUCAUCAAUUAUCUUUUAUAGUUUUGCGAAAACCGAAACCCUAAUUCCCAAAUCGAACACAAUUCUCGCAUAUUCUCCGGAUGAUGAAACAACGGAACCGCACGAACAUUGAUACGCCAGUUGUUGAUACGCUGUGAAGUCGGCCGUAUUUCUUGCCGGAAGUUUGCCAACCCCCUUGCUGCAUUUGAGAUUGUUGCAUUUAUUGCAGAGCCUGUAAUGGGAGCAGGAGGUGCGAUACCUCCACCCAGGGCGAAGCUAAACGACCGAAGUUUGAGAACAUGGAGGUGGUGGCGGUUAUGAUAAUAAUGAUAGCAAGGGUUUCAGUUCUGGUCCUGCAAGUUCAAUUUGGUUUGUGAUUGUGGUAAGUAGUUUGGUGAUAAUUUGUGAGUGAGAAUAUAUUUGUUAGAGAAGCUUUUAAAUGUUUUAUUAGAUCGACUUGGUGAAAAUUUGUUAGUGAUUUGAAGGUGAUUCGAAUGUUUUUAUUUGGACUAAAAUGAGCUGGUGAGGAUGUUUGCUAAAACAGUGUUUGGUGGUUUGAAACCACUGUUGG
RNAcentral lists this long non-coding RNA (728 nucleotides) under Helianthus annuus (common sunflower). RNAcentral describes it as "sRNA HanXRQr2_Chr12g0538431". Lineage: Eukaryota; Viridiplantae; Streptophyta; Magnoliopsida; Asterales; Asteraceae. The record is from RNAcentral.